AACGAACGCUGGCGGCAGGCUUAACACAUGCAAGUCGACCGCCCCGCAAGGGGAGCGGCAGACGGGUGAGUAACGCGUGGGAAUCUACCCAUCACUACGGAACAACUCCGGGAAACUGGAGCUAAUAUCGUAUAAGUCCUUCGUGAGAAAGGUUUGUCUGUGAUGGAGGAGCGCGCGUGGGAUUAGCUCGUUGGUGGGGGAAUGGCCCACCAAGGCGACGAUCGAUAGCUGGGCUGAGAGGAUGGUCAGGCACACUGGGAGUGAGACGCGGCCCAGACUCCUACGGAAGGCAGGAGUGGGGAAUAUUGGACAAUGGGCGGAAGCCUGAUCCAGCCAUGCCGCGUGAGUAAUGAAGGCCCUAGGGUUGUGGAGCUCUUUCACCGGUGAAGAUAAUGACGGUAACCGGAGAAGAAGCCCCGGCUAACUUCGUGCCAGCAGCCGCCGUAA
This 447-nucleotide ribosomal RNA is filed under the name uncultured bacterium. RNAcentral describes it as "partial 16S ribosomal RNA". It matches the Rfam family "Bacterial small subunit ribosomal RNA", at positions 29 to 523 of the family's 1533-position model. The record is from RNAcentral.